Molecule: long non-coding RNA, 1504 nt
Organism: Neofelis nebulosa (Clouded leopard)
Lineage: Eukaryota; Metazoa; Chordata; Mammalia; Carnivora; Felidae
Exons: 2
Source: RefSeq, a predicted model, not a curated record
AUGAGCAGGGGAGGCGCAGAGAGAGACGGAGAGAAUCCCAAGCAGGCUCCACGCUCAGCAGAGAGCCUGAUGCAGGGCUCAAUCUCACGACCAUGAGAUCGUGACCUGAGCUGAAAUCAAGAGUCGGGUGCUUAGCCGACUGAACCACCCAGUGAAGGGGGAUGCUUCAGAGAAGUGGCGGACCCCUGUGACACUCUGAGGACUGGCAACCGCAGGGCUGGCUGGCGUCUCCUCACCUCGAUGUUGAGCAGCCAGAACUGGAGGUUGGCCACGGCCUCCUCCCCCAGUGCCAGGUUCCAGACCACCACAUACAGGGCCUUGUCUGUGAAGAAGCACUGAUUGACAGUGGCCAUGCUGGCAGGGCCACCGAUGUCCCAGACGGUGAAUUCCACGGACUCAACCUGCUUGAGCAACAAGGGCAGCGACAGGAGGCAUUUAGGAACCAAGGCUGUACAGUUAUCGGGAUAGCUGAUCACUUCAGAUGCUGGGAUUGGGGCCUAAAAAUGGCCCAGCAGUGGAAGGGCUUUGCCCAUCCUGCUGUUUGUCUCAGGAAGCAAGUGACCCAAGGGAGGGAAAGGGGCCCAGCAGUGCGGAGGUGGACUUCUGGAAGCAUCUAUCUACCCCUGACAGAGCCCGGGGGUAGGAGGGAGGGCAGGCCUUCCUGGAUGGCUGGCUCCCGUUCGCGUCCACCUGUAUCUGCCAAACACUGGGGGCUCUGUCCUGCCUCUGUCUCUGCUGCAGACAGUUAGGAGACAUCCUGCUGGAGGGAACCCCGGUGCUGACGUCAGCGCCCACGCCAAGGCUUAACCUCCAUCUGUGCAAGGGCAAGGCCAAGGAGACGGGCCUCCGGCCUCCGGACUUGAGUAGGCCAGAGGGCGGCGCCCACCAAGGAUGAUGGGAAACUUCCCCGACGUGGGAAUCAAACAAAAGAUUAGCUGUAGUGCUGCCGGGAAAGACUGUGUAAACGGUGGUUUCUCUAUCGUUCUAUGAGCUAAGAGUCUGGCCCCACCAGCUAAGAUUGCAGUUUUCUGUAGCAAAGAAUCAUUUCCAAUAUGCUGCAUUUUGGCCUCCAAGACAAGGCGUGCUGACCUGCUUUUGCAAAGAAAUGAAAACGGGCAGCUGUUCUAAACUGGCAGAAGGCCCAGACACACAGGGCGUUACGGGGCUCGGCGUCUGAAACAUCAGGUGGUUGUCCUUCCACUAAAGGAGGGGAAAUGAUAAUAACGGCAGAAAGGAAGUAGGGGCCAAAGGACAGGAAAAAUGGAAACUGCAAUUCACCCCCCAGACGUCAGACAAUCAUUUGCUAAAGAAUAGCUGGGAGAAAGUGAUAUUGAGUAGUUUUGCUUAAAAAACCAGGAGGGAAUCCAGAGAUCCUGGGGGCUUUAGAGAACCUUUGGACACGGGGUAGUUAGAUUCACUCCUGGGGCCUUUUGGGGGGUUGUGGUGGGGCUGGUAUUAUUUGACUGUUAUGGCAUUAAAAGGCGGGGCUCUGCCCUUUAGAGGA